Molecule: non-coding RNA, 27 nt
Filed under: Cricetulus griseus (Chinese hamster)
Lineage: Eukaryota; Metazoa; Chordata; Mammalia; Rodentia; Cricetidae
Source: RNAcentral
UCCUAGGCUGAACUCUCUUCGGUAAGG